RNAcentral lists this ribosomal RNA (776 nucleotides) under Escherichia coli. RNAcentral's name for it is "partial 23S ribosomal RNA". It matches the Rfam family "Bacterial large subunit ribosomal RNA", at positions 609 to 1385 of the family's 2925-position model. The record is from RNAcentral. Lineage: Bacteria; Pseudomonadati; Pseudomonadota; Gammaproteobacteria; Enterobacterales; Enterobacteriaceae.
UGUAUAAUGGGUCAGCGACUUAUAUUCUGUAGCAAGGUUAACCGAAUAGGGGAGCCGAAGGGAAACCGAGUCUUAACUGGGCGUUAAGUUGCAGGGUAUAGACCCGAAACCCGGUGAUCUAGCCAUGGGCAGGUUGAAGGUUGGGUAACACUAACUGGAGGACCGAACCGACUAAUGUUGAAAAAUUAGCGGAUGACUUGUGGCUGGGGGUGAAAGGCCAAUCAAACCGGGAGAUAGCUGGUUCUCCCCGAAAGCUAUUUAGGUAGCGCCUCGUGAAUUCAUCUCCGGGGGUAGAGCACUGUUUCGGCAAGGGGGUCAUCCCGACUUACCAACCCGAUGCAAACUGCGAAUACCGGAGAAUGUUAUCACGGGAGACACACGGCGGGUGCUAACGUCCGUCGUGAAGAGGGAAACAACCCAGACCGCCAGCUAAGGUCCCAAAGUCAUGGUUAAGUGGGAAACGAUGUGGGAAGGCCCAGACAGCCAGGAUGUUGGCUUAGAAGCAGCCAUCAUUUAAAGAAAGCGUAAUAGCUCACUGGUCGAGUCGGCCUGCGCGGAAGAUGUAACGGGGCUAAACCAUGCACCGAAGCUGCGGCAGCGACACUGUGUGUUGUUGGGUAGGGGAGCGUUCUGUAAGCCUGUGAAGGUGUGCUGUGAGGCAUGCUGGAGGUAUCAGAAGUGCGAAUGCUGACAUAAGUAACGAUAAAGCGGGUGAAAAGCCCGCUCGCCGGAAGACCAAGGGUUCCUGUCCAACGUUAAUCGGGGCAGGGUGAGUC